Molecule: ribosomal RNA, 684 nt
Filed under: uncultured bacterium
Lineage: Bacteria
Description: bacterial SSU rRNA
Rfam family: Bacterial small subunit ribosomal RNA
Source: RNAcentral
AGGACAUGGGAAGCUUGCUUCCUAUGAAAUCGAGUGGCAAACGGGUGAGUAACGCGUAAACAACCUGCCCUUCGGAUGGGGAUAACAGCCGGAAACGGCUGCUAAUACCGAAUACGAUCUUUUCGUCGCAUGACGGAAAGAAGAAAGGAUGGCCUCUAUACAAAGCUAUCGCCGAAGGAGGGGUUUGCGUCUGAUUAGCUGGUUGGAGGGGUAACGGCCCAACAAGGCGAUGAUCAGUAGCCGGUCUGAGAGGAUGAACGGCCACAUUGGGACUGAGACACGGCCCAGACUCCUACGGGAGGCAGCAGUGGGGAAUCUUCCGCAAUGGACGAAAGUCUGACGGAGCAACGCCGCGUGAGUGAAGAAGGUCUUCGGAUUGUAAAGCUCUGUUAUACGGGACGAAAAAGACGGAUGCCAACAGUAUCCGUCCGUGACGGUACCGUAAGAGAAAGCCACGGCUAACUACGUGCCAGCAGCCGCGGUAAUACGUAGGUGGCAAGCGUUGUCCGGAAUUAUUGGGCGUAAAGGGCGCGCAGGCGGUUCGGUAAGUCUGUCUUAAAAGUGCGGGGCUUAACCCCGUGAGGGGACGGAAACUGUCGAACUUGAGUGUCGGAGAGGAAAGCGGAAUUCCUAGUGUAGCGGUGAAAUGCGUAGAUAUUAGGAGGAACACCGGUGGCGAAAGCG